AUUGAACGCUGGCGGCAGGCCUAACACAUGCAAGUCGAGCGGAUGAAGGGAGCUUGCUCCUGGAUUCAGCGGCGGACGGGUGAGUAAUGCCUAGGAAUCUGCCUGGUAGUGGGGGAUAACGUCCGGAAACGGGCGCUAAUACUGCCUACGUCCUGAGGGAGAAAGUGGGGGAUCUUCGGACCUCACGCUCUCAGAUGAGCCUAGGUCGGAUUAGCUAGUUGGUGGGGUAAAGGCCUACCAAGGCGACGAUCCGUAACUGGUCUGAGAGGAUGAUCAGUCACACUGGAACUGAGACACGGUCCAGACUCCUACGGGAGGCAGCAGUGGGGAAUAUUGGACAAUGGGCGAAAGCCUGAUCCAGCCAUGCCGCGUGUGUGAAGAAGGUCUUCGGAUUGUAAAGCACUUUAAGUUGGGAGGAAGGGCAGUAAGUUAAUACCUUGCUGUUUUGACGUUACCAACAGAAUAAGCACCGGCUAACUUCGUG
RNAcentral lists this ribosomal RNA (484 nucleotides) under uncultured bacterium. Its description in RNAcentral is "partial 16S ribosomal RNA". It matches the Rfam family "Bacterial small subunit ribosomal RNA", at positions 30 to 507 of the family's 1533-position model. The record is from RNAcentral.